UUGGAGUGCGUACUCCUCAUAUCACCACAAAGCACCUCGAAGUAACGUUUGAUUCAGAAAACUACAUCGCAAAACCUAAGUUGAGUGCCAGGCCCUUGGGCCCUUUGUUAAACUAGUCAAGCCAUGAAGACCGCUGUCGUUAUGAUCCUGGCCCUUGUGCUAGUAGGCGUAUUGGCUACAUUUGUCAUCGAAGUUGAUUCGGCAUGUACGCCUUCAAGAGGGAAUAUAUGCAGUAAACCCACCGACUGCGGCUGCGGCGGCGUCUGUGCAAUGGAAGGGAUUAAGGGUAUAUGCACACUCUAAAAUACUAGUAACAUAGGCGAGUCGUCCUUGGUUUCUCGGCAGAAGUAGACACGCAUCAUCUCAUUUGGCUGUACAUUAAUGUUGUCCUAAAAGAGAGCGAUGAAUAAAAGCUGCAAAGCAAUAAUGUUGUCCUCG
This is a long non-coding RNA of Lineus longissimus, 438 nucleotides long. RefSeq lists it as uncharacterized. The record is from RefSeq and is a predicted model, not a curated record. The transcript has 3 exons. Lineage: Eukaryota; Metazoa; Nemertea; Pilidiophora; Heteronemertea; Lineidae.